This 395-nucleotide ribosomal RNA is filed under the name uncultured bacterium. RNAcentral's name for it is "bacterial SSU rRNA". It matches the Rfam family "Bacterial small subunit ribosomal RNA", at positions 505 to 898 of the family's 1533-position model. The record is from RNAcentral.
GUGUCAGCAGCCGCGGUAAGACAGAGGGUGCAAACGUUGUUCGGAAUUACUGGGCGUAAAGCGCGUGUAGGCGGUUUGGUAAGUCGGAUGUGAAAGCCCGGGGCUCAACCUCGGAAGUGCAUUCGAUACUACCAUACUAGAGUACUGGAGAGGAUGGUGGAACUCUCGGUGUAGAGGUGAAAUUCGUAGAUAUCGAGAAGAACACCGGUGGCGAAGGCGGCCAUCUGGACAGAUACUGACGCUGAGACGCGAAAGCGUGGGGAGCAAACAGGAUUAGAUACCCUGGUAGUCCACGCCGUAAACGAUGGGUGCUAGGUGUCACGGGUAUUGACCCCUGUGGUGCCGAAGCUAACGCAUUAAGCACCCCGCCUGGGAAGUACGGCCGCAAGGCUAAA